GACGAACGCUGGCGGCGUGCUUAACACAUGCAAGUCGAACGAGAAUCUACUGAAAGAGUUUUCGGACAAUGGAAGUAGAGGAAAGUGGCGGACGGGUGAGUAACGCGUGAGGAUCCUGCCUUGAAGAGGGGGACAACAGUUGGAAACGACUGCUAAUACCGCAUGAAGCAUAGGGGUCGCAUGAUUCUUAUGCCAAAGAUUUAUCGCUUCAAGAUGGCCUCGCGUCUGAUUAGCUGGUUGGCGGGGUAACGGCCCACCAAGGCGACGAUCAGUAGCCGGACUGAGAGGUUGAACGGCCACAUUGGGACUGAGAUACGGCCCAGACUCCUACGGGAGGCAGCAGUGGGGAAUAUUGGGCAAUGGGCGCAAGCCUGACCCAGCAACGCCGCGUGAAGGAAGAAGGCUUUCGGGUUGUAAACUUCUUUUAAGAGGGAAGAGCAGAAGACGGUACCUCUAGAAUAAGCCACGGCUAACUACGUG
Molecule: ribosomal RNA, 480 nt
Filed under: uncultured bacterium
Lineage: Bacteria
Description: partial 16S ribosomal RNA
Rfam family: Bacterial small subunit ribosomal RNA
Source: RNAcentral